CUGAACCAGCCAAGUAGCGUGAAGGAUGACUGCCCUAUGGGUUGUAAACUUCUUUUAUAAAGGAAUAAAGUCGGGUAUGUAUACCCGUUUGCAUGUACUUUAUGAAUAAGGAUCGGCUAACUCCGUGCCAGCAGCCGCGGUAAUACGGAGGAUCCGAGCGUUAUCCGGAUUUAUUGGGUUUAAAGGGGGCGUAGAUGGAUGUUUAAGUCAGUUGUGAAAGUUUGCGG
RNAcentral lists this ribosomal RNA (227 nucleotides) under uncultured bacterium. RNAcentral describes it as "partial 16S ribosomal RNA". It matches the Rfam family "Bacterial small subunit ribosomal RNA", at positions 383 to 607 of the family's 1533-position model. The record is from RNAcentral.